CUGCUGCCUUCCGUAGGAGUUUGGACCGUGUCUCAGUUCCAAUGUGGGGGACCUUCCUCUCAGAACCCCUACGCAUCGUCGGCUUGGUGGGCCGUUGCCCCACCAACUACCUAAUGCGCCGCAUGCCCAUCCAUGACCGGGGUCGCCCCCUUUGACCGGCAGGGGAUGUCCCUCCCGGCAUUAUGUUGUAUUAGGCGGGAUUUCUCCCGGUUAUCCAUCUGUCACGGCCAGGUUGCAUACGUGUUACUCACCCGUGCGCCGGUCGCCGG
RNAcentral lists this ribosomal RNA (269 nucleotides) under uncultured bacterium. RNAcentral's name for it is "partial 16S ribosomal RNA". The record is from RNAcentral.